AAGUAAUAAAACAAUUUUAUUUUGAAAAUAAAAUAUGAAAUAUUAAUUUAUUUCAUUACUUU
Molecule: transfer RNA, 62 nt
Filed under: Obama sp. MAP-2014
Lineage: Eukaryota; Metazoa; Platyhelminthes; Tricladida; Geoplanidae
Description: tRNA-Ser
Source: RNAcentral